Molecule: long non-coding RNA, 2462 nt
Organism: Lytechinus pictus (painted urchin)
Lineage: Eukaryota; Metazoa; Echinodermata; Echinoidea; Temnopleuroida; Toxopneustidae
Exons: 3
Source: RefSeq, a predicted model, not a curated record
ACAAGACUAGCUGAUGAAGCAAAAUAAUCCUUGCGAUAAUCGUGAUUGUGGAAGAGAUUUAAUGGAUACGAUGACAAAGAAGUCUGGAAUAAACAAAAAACCUCAGAACCUCCAUAACUGUGUCUGCUACAAUGUAUGUUCUUGCAACCAGCUGAUUGAUUCAUUUUAUCAAAUGGUUGAUUAUCAGAACUGAAUUCAGAGCUGCUCCUGUCUGUAGUAACAUCAUUAUUGAAGUGGACUUCAGAAUAAGGGUUUUGCUGGUUUAAAAACUUCACUCCAUGGAGCUCUCCAAAUUCAUCUCAAAUUAGACUGCUUCUGGAAACCAGAUUUGUUCCUUCAAGCAGAGACGCUUGUCGCUUUCCUGACUGGACUUCUAUGGAUUCCUCAUGCCAACCUUAAGGACUGGUCUUCUGCAUGAUACACGUCAAUUCCAAACAAGACAUUCUGUGGUGAAACACUCGAUGGAGAUGAAAUUAUAUAACUGAAUCUCAGAAGUAAUUCCUCGGGAGCAAGAAACAAUGAAAAAUAGAAAUAAAAGGUCCAUCAAUUAUGAAUUUCUUGAGCAGUGUUCUUUUUUGUGCACAAAUCAAUGGAUCAUUUCAAUUCCAAGCAGGUAUGUAGUCAAUGCUGACCUCGAGGCAACAGUUUGCUGGCCUUGGUCUGAGUCACUUUACAGAAUCUAUGGGAAGUUCUCUCAAGCUGCCUCAUGACUCGGAAGAAUCAGCCUCGACCUCAUCCCUGUAUGCAAAUGUGAUAUAUAUCUACGAUGCAAUCUCACGAUUAAAGAGAAACAAGAGAGCUUCGAUUUUGAAGUGUAGCAAUCUCUUGAAAUUUAUGUUUUAUUUGAAAAUCAAACUACAAUAACUUAAUUAGGCAUGUUAUUCAUUAUAUUUAUGAAUGAAAGCAUUGAAACAAUUUGGUGCUCUUGCAAAACAAAUUCUGAAUUGUAUUUACUGCAAACCCUCAGAAAUAUUUUUGAGAAUUUGCCAGUGCAUGAAGUGUUUUGAUAAAGAGUGGCUUUUGUGCCUAUGGAAAGUUAUUAUUUCUUCAACAUUUCUUCAUACAAAUUAUUUAAGAAAUCACAAUUUGAAUAUUCCAUGACCGCUGAUAACAAGAGCAGAAUAUUUUGGGUGAUUGACACACUUUAAAAUGAUAUUAGAAGAGAAUGUAGUGAAGUUUUGUGAAAACAAUGGCAUAAUUGCUGUAUAGAGGCCUAUGAAGGUUGAAAAUAACAUUAUUUUAAGUUUUUCUUGAAAAAAACCCAUGGGAAAUUGAAACUGGUAUAAUUUACAAAAGUUAAAAAAAAAAAAGCCUAUGUUUACAAGCCUAUGGUCAAUCAAUUGAACGUAAAUCAAGCGCAAAUUUUGCGCGUCCUCCAAAAUCUCACACAAGUUACGUUCGAUUUGCAAUCAAUUGCAAAGCUUGCGCUUGAUCUACGUUCAAUUGAUCAAACGCAACUUCUUGCAACAGGGUUGAACGUAACUUGCGUUCAAUUGCAGAUUUGCGUUUAAUCGGAGGACUUACGCUCAAUUUUGGGAGUUGCGUUCGAUUUGCGUUCAAUCGCAAGUUUCUUGCAACACCCCAAUAAUCAUAUCAUUAUGAUAGGAUAUUUUUAACAAGACAUGUGUCAUGCGUUUUCCCUUAGGUUGAUGAGUCAUAAUGCGAUAACGAGAUCCAUUGUGUACAUUAACCAGGGCUAUAUUUCCAUGUCUUAGAAGACGUAUCCAUGGUAAAUGGGCGAUAAUGUUGUUGUCAAACAUGUCAAAUGGCAAUUCAAACAAUCAAGGACUCCGUCAAAUACUUAUUAUAAAGGGCAUUUUCUCAAAUCCAAAUGCGUAUGCUGCUGUUAAAAAAAAGCAAUUCAAAUAACCAAGAACUUCGUGAAUCCUUUGCUGUAGACAGGUAAAUGUUUAAUAUGCUGUAACACGGUAAUUUGAUUGAGAUGUCUGAAAUUGUAUCUUUACCUCAAUUUCCCAUGGUUGUAAAUUUGGACUAUUGGCCCUUCAGAUCAUGAAAUAUUGAUACCCGGUUUUCUUGAUGAGAGGUGAUUUGACAUGACAGUGUUUGUCUUUGCACAAAGGACAUUACCCUUGGAGUUAACCAAUCUUUAAAAGUUAUAGAAUCCAAAAAUGGCAGAAUAAAUCAUAUAGGACAUUGCAGCCGAAAAUACAAAGACUAUGAUACCCUUUAUUUCAAUUACUUUAUCACCAAGAUUUUUCUUUUAAAUAAGGCCCUAGUAUUCCUCAAAGUUCGGAAUUUCUGUUGUUUUUCAUGCUCUUAAAUGGUAUAAUCUUUUAUUAACAUUUAGAAGAUGUAAUUUAUUACAAUUUGGUAUCAGUUCAAAACGGAUAUUUUUUGCUUACUCGCUUCGCCCUUCCGCAUUUAUUUUUCAAUAUUCAAUAAUAUUACAAAUUAUGAAUAAUGUUAAUAAAUGUCAAGUGUCUUUGUAAUUACGAUUUGAU